This 494-nucleotide ribosomal RNA is filed under the name uncultured bacterium. RNAcentral describes it as "partial 16S ribosomal RNA". It matches the Rfam family "Bacterial small subunit ribosomal RNA", at positions 28 to 507 of the family's 1533-position model. The record is from RNAcentral.
GACGAACGCUGGCGGCGCGCUUAACACAUGCAAGUCGAACGGAAAGGCCUGCUUUCCUUUGUGGAUUGCGGGUACUCGAGUGGCGAACGGGUGAGUAACACGUGAGUGAUCUGCCCCCAACUUGGGUAUAAGCCUGGGAAACUGGGUCUAAUUCCCGAUAGGACUGCAGGGUGGUGCCUGUGGUGGAAAACGAUUUUCUAGUGGUUGGGGAUGAGCUCGCGGCCUAUCAGCUUGUUGGUGGGGUAAUGGCCUACCAAGGCGGCGACGGGUAGCCGGCCUGAGAGGGUGGACGGCCACAUUGGGACUGGGAUACGGCCCAGACGCCUACGGGAGGCAGCAGUGGGGAAUAUUGCACAAUGGGCGGAAGCCUGAUGCAGCGACGCCGCGUGGGGGAUGACGGCCUUCGGGUUGUAAACUCCUUUCGACCGCGAGGAAGCCACCUGGUUGGAAGGGUGGUGACGGUAGUGGUAGAAGAAGCACCGGCUAACUACGUG